UACAUUUACAAACUCUACUGAAUGUUUACGUUGUUUUCUCAAACAAUAUUUGACGAUGUCAUAGAGUAGGAUUGUAGGAUACUCUAUGGGUAUGGUGGCUAGAGGGGGGUAGUGUGGCGGGCGCCUCAUCCGCGCCGUGGAGGACAUAGAGUUAGUAGAACAAAUCUAGCCGGAAAAGUGGGAACCUCUAGGGCGCCGCCCUGUUGCUACUGGUCAAUGUGGCCAGCGCAAUUACUAUUGAAAGAGCUGAAAACAAAUACAGGUCACCUUAUGCUUUUUCAACUAAAAACGCAUACCUGAUGGCUUUAUGAAGGUGGUGCGUUAAUAUUAAGUUUACAGAAAGCGAUCGCUAAGUCUGUGACUUAUGUAAAUAACGAUGUACGCAUUCAUGCAAUAAAGGAUGACGCGAAUUUCGGUUUCGAAUCUGUUUUUUGGACGCGUAGUAGUUUCGUACAGUUUAGGUUUGACAUGCGAUCGCGCGUCCACAUCGGACGCUAUGGCACACUCGUGCCUUAUGUGCCACCGAAGCCCAGAAGUGCUCUGGCAUAUACCUUCACAUGUUUCCCUUCAGUAGGAAAUCGCUGGACAGGCGGACCAGCGCACCGGAAUUGUACUGGCCAAGCGACAAGCAACUCAAAGAAUCUGUUUAAUUGCUGCACUUUGAACAAUCAUGCUUCUACAAAGUCCACAGCAGAAAAACAGCCUGAUGCCGAGUAUUUCUGUGCCACGAAGUAAUCAAGAGGCGAGUGCCUAAUGCGGACGAAAUCGACUGCAUCGAGACUUAGAACGACAGAAAGCUGAGCUAGUUGAUAUACAAUGGCAAGCCCUUCCGUGUGUUCCAAAGGUAAAAUUUAAGCUCUAAAUUAAAGAAGACAUUUCUAGUCAGAGACAAGCAAAAAUGUUGAAUGCAGAGUAUGAGAAGCCCAAGGUACAGAAAUUAUGAGAAGUGUCGAAUGAUUUUAAGGAAAGAGUCUUAUUUGAAACUGCAAGACUCUUUAGUGGAGGUCAAGCAAGUCAAUGUAGGUAGAAUACUCUGCAAAAUUAUGCGAGUGAGGGGAUGUCAAACAAUGGGUCAGGAAAUGCGUUGGUUUUCUGCAAAACAAUGCAUAAGUCACUUUAGCAUCAUGAGACUGCUGCUUGAUAAAUUCAGAAAUAAACCAAACAACAAGACUCGCAAAAAUAAAAAAAAAACAAUUUAAUGGUGCUCUCCCCACACUGGGAUAAAUAAAAACAUCACAUCUAAUGUGGACAUAUCAGACGCCUUGUGAAACACUAAAGGAAAAAUUCACUUUCGAGCUAUGGCACUUGCCGCAUAGAUGUGGGGGACCUUGCACUAAUAGUGGUAGUUACCACUGCAUUUAGAAAUUGAAAGCAUUCAUGCAGACAAGGAUGAUUCUUUAUAUUUUUGGCUACCACUUCACAUGCCUCCACCAAGUGUUACAAUGUUGCACGCAGCCAUACUAAGGAUGUCGCAGCAACACCUGCAGGUAAAAAGCAGAAGCAGUCGAAGUGCUGGUGUAUUCUGCACACUAGCUUUGAAAACUUUUGGGCAAGAACAGUGCAAGAAGCAGACAUAACAACUGCAUUUAUUUCCAUAAUUCCCCAUUUGAAUGGCCUUUUCUUUUUGCUUAGACAAUGCCUACGCCUAGGCACAGCAGCUCCCUCAUACAGACUCCGCAAGCCAAGAGGCCGUGGAGGCAAAUGCAGGUAAGAGGCAAGAAGCAAUAGCACUAGUAUCGACAUUCACCUGAUUUCUUAGUUUUUCUUUCGUUUAGGCAGCCAGCACACCUCGAACAGCCACCUUGAUUGCAGGUGUGUCACCCUAGUCGCCAAGGAAACAUUUGAGGGAAAGCGACAGGCAAUGUGAACAGCCACUUCUCCAUGCAAACGAUACUCUUUCUCUCGGAUGACUCCUACGCCUCGCCACGCCAGCACUCUUGUGCACAAAGAUGCCGCGGAGGCACGUGCAGGUCAGAGGCAAGAAGCAGUGGCACUGGUGUCGACAUUCACCCAAUUUCUUUUUCUUACACUGAGGCAGCCAGCACACCUCGAACAGCCACCUUGACUGCGGGCGUGUCAGUAGAUUCCUGUUGCACAUAUGCUCAUAAUAAACUUCAGUAAACUUGAACUUGAUAAUAAACUUGAUGGCAAAUGGGA
Long non-coding RNA from Dermacentor andersoni, 2157 nucleotides. RefSeq lists it as uncharacterized. NCBI's taxonomy places the organism in Eukaryota, Metazoa, Arthropoda, Arachnida, Ixodida, Ixodidae. The record is from RefSeq and is a predicted model, not a curated record.